RNAcentral lists this long non-coding RNA (787 nucleotides) under Monodelphis domestica (gray short-tailed opossum). RNAcentral describes it as "lncRNA (ENSMODG00000046909.1)". Lineage: Eukaryota; Metazoa; Chordata; Mammalia; Didelphimorphia; Didelphidae. The record is from RNAcentral.
GUCUCUCCUGGACUCUCUUGUCUUUGUGUCUGUCUCUGUUUCUCCCCCUCCCCUCUCCCCUUUCUAUCUUCCCUCCCCUUCCCCUCCUUCCCUUCCUUCCCCUCCUUCCCCUCCUUCCCCUCCUUCCCCUCCUUCCCUUCCUCCUCUUUCUUUCUUUCUUUCUUUCUUUCUUUCUUUCUUUCUUUCUUUCUUUCUUUCUUUCUUUCUUUCUUUCUUUCUUUCUUUCUUUCUUUCUUUCUUUCUUUCUUUCUUUCUUUCUUUCUUUCUUUCUUUCUUUCUUUCUUUCUUUCUUUCUUUUUCUUUCUUUCUUUCUUUCUUUCUUUCUUUCUUUCUUUCUUUCUUUCUUUCUUUCUUUCUUUCUUUCUUUUUCUUCCUUCCUUCCUUCCUUCCUUCCUUCCUUUCUUUCUUUCUUUCUUUCUUUCUUUCUUUCUUUCUUUCUUUCUUCCUUCCUUCCUUUCUUCCUUCCUUUCUUUCUUCCUUUCUCCCUUUCUCCCUUUCUUCUUUUCUUCCUUUCUUCCUUUCUUCCUUUCUCUCUUUCUUUCUUCCCUUUCUCUCUUUCUUUCUUUCUCUAGAUUCUAGGCUUUGGGAACAGGAGAGCAAAGAAGACAGGAGAUAGAAUGUCAUGUGUAAAAAUGAUAAGAAGGCAUUUGAACUGGACUAUAGAUGUGAGAAAGAGUUUAACAUUUUACAUGACAAGAAAACUAGGUUAGGGACAGGUUGUGAAGGGUUUUAUUUUGUGCAUUUUGUAUUUCAAUUUUUAAAUUUUAAUAAUAAAUUUUCACCUAUG